GCUAUUUAGGUUAGAGUUUGAUCCUGGCUCAGAUUGAACGCUGGCGGCAUGCCUUACACAUGCAAGUCGAACGGCAGCACGGGGGUAACCCUGGUGGCGAGUGGCGAACGGGUGAGUAAUACAUCGGAACGUGUCCUGGAGUGGGGGAUAGCCCGGCGAAAGCCGGAUUAAUACCGCAUACGCUCUAAGGAGGAAAGCGGGGGACCUUCGGGCCUCGCGCUCAAGGGGCGGCCGAUGGCGGAUUAGCUAGUUGGUAGGGUAAAGGCCUACCAAGGCGACGAUCCGUAGCUGGUCUGAGAGGACGACCAGCCACACUGGGACUGAGACACGGCCCAGACUCCUACGGGAGGCAGCAGUGGGGAAUUUUGGACAAUGGGGGCAACCCUGAUCCAGCAAUGCCGCGUGUGUGAAGAAGGCCUUCGGGUUGUAAAGCACUUUUGUCCGGAAAGAAAACCUAGGUUCUAAUAAAGCCGAGGGAUGACGGUACCGGAAGAAUAAGCACCGGCUAACUACGUGCCAGCAGCCGCGGUAAUCGCCC
This 538-nucleotide ribosomal RNA is filed under the name uncultured bacterium. RNAcentral describes it as "bacterial SSU rRNA". It matches the Rfam family "Bacterial small subunit ribosomal RNA", at positions 1 to 526 of the family's 1533-position model. The record is from RNAcentral.